UUAGAGAAGAGCGCACUUCCGGUGCCCUUUCUGCCUGGAGCUCCACGGCCUGAGACCCUCGUGUGUGUGGGGUGUGAUCUCUAAACUGGAGUGGGGUGGAGACGGGCCGGCACCCCAGCUCUGACUUCUGGUGCCGCCGGCCUCGGGACCAGACAUGGCCCAAAACUUGAAGGACUUGGCCGGACGGCUGCCCGCCGGGCCCCGGGGCAUGGGCACCGCGCUGAAGCUGCUGCUGGGGGCCGGCGCGGUGGCCUACGGCGUCCGCGAGUCCGUGUUCACCGUGGAAGGCGGACACAGAGCCAUCUUCUUUAACCGCAUCGGGGGCGUGCAGCAGGACACCAUCCUGGCCGAGGGCCUCCACUUCAGGAUCCCCUGGUUCCAGUACCCUAUAAUCUAUGACAUUCGGGCCAGGCCCCGCAAAAUCUCCUCCCCCACAGGCUCCAAAGACCUGCAGAUGGUGAACAUCUCCUUGCGCGUGCUGUCUCGCCCCAACGCCCAAGAGCUUCCCAGCAUGUACCAGCGCCUCGGGCUGGACUACGAGGAGCGAGUGCUGCCUUCCAUCGUCAACGAGGUGCUCAAGAGUGUGGUGGCCAAGUUCAACGCCUCUCAGCUCAUCACCCAGAGAGCCCAGGUCUCUCUGCUGAUCCGGCGCGAGCUGACGGAACGGGCCAAGGACUUCAGCCUCAUCCUGGACGACGUGGCCAUCACAGAGCUGAGCUUCAGCCGAGAGUACACGGCCGCCGUGGAAGCCAAGCAAGUGGCCCAGCAGGAGGCCCAGCGGGCCCAGUUCUUGGUGGAGAAGGCCAAACAGGAACAGAGACAGAAGAUUGUGCAGGCCGAGGGCGAGGCUGAGGCCGCCAAGAUGAUAUCCUCCCUCCACAUGACCCUACCCACCCCGGCGGGCUGGCUGAUGAGACUAAGGCGAAGGCGAAUCCUGCUCUGCCCUGGGCUGCAUGUGGGGGAGGGGGCGGGGCCACAAAUGGGAUCUGAAAUCUUAGCGGGGGCUCCGAAGGCCCGGCUCCCCACUGUAAGGCCAGAUCCACAGCACCCACUGGCCUCCCCCACUGCCGCUGCUGCUGGCCAGCCUCGGGCAGCAGCCUGUGGGGCAGGCCUACAGACGGAACCUGCGCAGGAGCAGGCUGAGCGCACCCUUGGAUCUGACAGCCCCAGGAGAACCAGGGCGAGGGGGGCCUGAGAGCCAGUCUGCUGUGACCCCUUAACCCUGUCCUGCUCACCUCGGAGAGGCACUGAGCAAGAACCCCGGCUACAUCAAACUACGCAAGAUCCGGGCCGCCCAGAACAUCUCCAAGACGAUCGCCACGUCACAGAACCGAAUAUAUCUCACAGCAGACAACCUGGUGCUGAACCUACAGGAUGAGAGUUUCACGCGGUGAGGGAGGGGUCUGCUCAC
RNA transcript from Ochotona princeps (American pika), 1411 nucleotides. It is a transcript of the gene named prohibitin 2, with no coding region annotated. The record is from RefSeq and is a predicted model, not a curated record. The transcript has 7 exons. NCBI's taxonomy places the organism in Eukaryota, Metazoa, Chordata, Mammalia, Lagomorpha, Ochotonidae.